RNAcentral lists this ribosomal RNA (210 nucleotides) under Escherichia coli. Its description in RNAcentral is "partial 23S ribosomal RNA". It matches the Rfam family "Bacterial large subunit ribosomal RNA", at positions 2739 to 2925 of the family's 2925-position model. Lineage: Bacteria; Pseudomonadati; Pseudomonadota; Gammaproteobacteria; Enterobacterales; Enterobacteriaceae. The record is from RNAcentral. RNAcentral also lists the same sequence under 3 other names.
UGCCCGGUAGCUAAAUGCGGAAGAGAUAAGUGCUGAAAGCAUCUAAGCACGAAACUUGCCCCGAGAUGAGUUCUCCCUGACUCCUUGAGAGUCCUGAAGGAACGUUGAAGACGACGACGUUGAUAGGCCGGGUGUGUAAGCGCAGCGAUGCGUUGAGCUAACCGGUACUAAUGAACCGUGAGGCUUAACCUUACAACGCCGAAGGUGUUU